Molecule: non-coding RNA, 145 nt
Organism: Canis lupus familiaris (dog)
Lineage: Eukaryota; Metazoa; Chordata; Mammalia; Carnivora; Canidae
Source: Rfam
AGCUUUGAGCAGUGGCAGUAUCAUAGCCAAUGAGGUUUAUCCGAGGCGUGAUUAUUGCUAAUUGGAAUACUGAUCCAGUGAUUUAUGCAGGUUGUCUAAAUGUAGACAUGACUCAUUACACAGUAUUUUUAAAAUCAUAUUUGUU